CCUACGGGAGGCAGCAGUGGGGAAUAUUGCACAAUGGGGGAAACCCUGAUGCAGCGACGCCGCGUGAGUGAAGAAGUAAUUCGUUACGUAAAGCUCUAUCAGCAGGGAAGAAAGAAAUGACGGUACCUGACUAAGAAGCCCCGGCUAACUACGUGCCAGCAGCCGCGGUAAUACGUAGGGGGCAAGCGUUAUCCGGAUUUACUGGGUGUAAAGGGAGCGUAGACGGCGAUGCAAGUCUGAAGUGAAAGGCGGGGGCCCAACCCCCGGACUGCUUUGGAAACUGUAUGGCUGGAGUGCAGGAGAGGUAAGUGGAAUUCCUAGUGUAGCGGUGAAAUGCGUAGAUAUUAGGAGGAACACCAGUGGCGAAGGCGGCUUACUGGACUGUAACUGACGUUGAGGCUCGAAAGCGUGGGGAGCAAACAGGAUUAGAUACCCGAGUAGUC
This 443-nucleotide ribosomal RNA is filed under the name uncultured bacterium. RNAcentral describes it as "partial 16S ribosomal RNA". It matches the Rfam family "Bacterial small subunit ribosomal RNA", at positions 338 to 795 of the family's 1533-position model. The record is from RNAcentral.